UCUCUCUGAAUCUGCGAACGGCUCCGCAAACCAGUUGUAAACUAUAGCAAGUAAGCCCGGGCUCCUUCUCACGAGGGGGUUCGGGUGAUAUGGAUAACCCUGGUAAUUCUGAGGCUAAUACGAGAACGUAAUACUCGACGGACCGGUGCAAACUGGGAAGUUGGGAGACGUGCAACUAGAAGUCGCGGGAAACGCCGGGAAAGGAUGCACGCCUGGACCGCUAUUCAAAACGGAUGACCUACACUUGCCCUUCACUGGGCCGGAGGAAGUUGCCCGAGCGGCUCUUGCAAUGUGCUUCUGACCUAUCAACUAGACGGCAGCGUAAAGGACAUGCUAUGGUUACAACGGGUACAGAGGAUUAGGGUUCGAUCCUGGAGAGUGGGCCUGAGAGAUU
Molecule: ribosomal RNA, 394 nt
Filed under: uncultured myxomycete
Lineage: Eukaryota; Evosea; Eumycetozoa
Description: SSU rRNA
Rfam family: Eukaryotic small subunit ribosomal RNA
Source: RNAcentral